AUAUUCCUGUACUUGGUGUUACUGCGAAGGGGGGACGGAGAAGGCUAGGCUAGCCGGGCGACGGUUGUCCCGGUUUAAGCGUGUAGGGGGUGUGACCUGGUAAAUCCGGUUGCAUAUCAACCCUGAGGCGUGAUGACGAUGCACUACGGUGCAGAAGUAGUUGAUGCCCUGCUUCCAGGAAAAGCCUCUAAGCUCUAGGUAACAUU
This 206-nucleotide ribosomal RNA is filed under the name Serratia nevei. Its description in RNAcentral is "partial 23S ribosomal RNA". It matches the Rfam family "Bacterial large subunit ribosomal RNA", at positions 1433 to 1638 of the family's 2925-position model. Lineage: Bacteria; Pseudomonadati; Pseudomonadota; Gammaproteobacteria; Enterobacterales; Yersiniaceae. The record is from RNAcentral.